CCUACGGGCGGCAGCAGUGAGGAAUAUUGGUCAAUGGGGGCAACCCUGACCCAGCCAUGCCGCGUGAGUGAAGAAGGUUUUCGGAUUUUAAACCUCUGUCCUCUGUGCAGAUAAUGACGGUAGCAGAGGAGGAAGCUCCUGCUAACUACGUGCCAGCAGCCGCGGUAAUACGUAGGGAGCAAGCGUGUUCCGGAUUUACUGGGUGUAAAGGGUGCGUAGGCGGCCUUGCAAGUCAGAAGUGAAAUCCAUGGGCUUAACCCGUGAACUGCUGUUGAAACUGGAGGGCUUGAGUGAAGUAGAGGCAGGCGGAAUGCCCGGUGUAGCGGUGAAAUGCGUAGAGAUCGCGAGGAACACCAGUGGCGAAGGCGGCCUGCUGGGCUUUAACUGACGCUGAGGCACGAAAGCGUGGGUAGCGAACAGGAUUAGAUACCCCUGUAGUC
This 440-nucleotide ribosomal RNA is filed under the name uncultured bacterium. RNAcentral's name for it is "partial 16S ribosomal RNA". It matches the Rfam family "Bacterial small subunit ribosomal RNA", at positions 338 to 795 of the family's 1533-position model. The record is from RNAcentral.